This 208-nucleotide ribosomal RNA is filed under the name uncultured Thiobacillus sp. RNAcentral's name for it is "partial 16S ribosomal RNA". It matches the Rfam family "Bacterial small subunit ribosomal RNA", at positions 568 to 775 of the family's 1533-position model. Lineage: Bacteria; Pseudomonadati; Pseudomonadota; Betaproteobacteria; Nitrosomonadales; Thiobacillaceae. The record is from RNAcentral.
UGCGCAGGCGGAUUGUUAAGCAAGACGUGAAAUCCCCGGGCUUAACCUGGGAAUGGCGUUUUGAACUGGCAGUCUAGAGUGCGUCAGAGGGGGUGGAAUUCCACGUGUAGCAGUGAAAUGCGUAGAGAUGUGGAGGAACACCGAUGGCGAAGGCAGCCCCCUCGGGAUGACACUGACGCUCAUGUACGAAAGCGUGGGUAGCAAACAG